AUCGCUUCUCGGCCUUUAGGCUAAGAUCAAGUGUAGUAUCAAAAUGUUCCUAUGCUUCUACAAGAAGCAAAUGUGCCAUACAAUUUUUUCCCUAACUGCAUGAACAAAACUUAA
RNAcentral lists this small nuclear RNA (114 nucleotides) under Echinops telfairi (small Madagascar hedgehog). RNAcentral describes it as "U2 spliceosomal RNA (ENSETEG00000024875.1)". The stretch from base 1 to 101 matches the Rfam family "U2 spliceosomal RNA". From Rfam's summary of the family: U2 is a small nuclear RNA (snRNA) component of the spliceosome (involved in pre-mRNA splicing). Complementary binding between U2 snRNA (in an area lying towards the 5' end but 3' to hairpin I) and the branchpoint sequence (BPS) of the intron results the bulging out of an unpaired adenosine, on the BPS, which initiates a nucleophilic attack at the intronic 5' splice site, thus starting the first of two transesterification reactions that mediate splicing. The record is from RNAcentral. Lineage: Eukaryota; Metazoa; Chordata; Mammalia; Afrosoricida; Tenrecidae.